CCUACGGGGGGCAGCAGUGGGGAAUAUUGCACAAUGGGGGAACCGUGAUGCAGCGACGCCGCGUGAGUGAAGAAGUAUUUCGGUAUGUAAAGCUCUAUCAGCAGGGAAGAAAAUGACGGUACCUGACUAAGAAGCCCCGGCUAACUACGUGCCAGCAGCCGCGGGAAUACGUAGGGGGCAAGCGUUAUCCGGAUUUACUGGGUGUAAAGGGAGCGCAGACGGCUGUGCAAGUCUGGAGUGAAAGGCGGGGGCCCAACCCCCGUACUGCUCUGGAAACUGUAAAGCUGGAGUGCAGGAGAGGUAAGCGGAAUGCCUAGUGUAGCGGUGAAAUGCGUAGAUAUUAGGAGGAACACCAGUGGCGAAGGCGGCUUACUGGACUACAACUGACGUUGAGGCUCGAAAGCGUGGGGAGCGAACAGGAUUAGAUACCCUAGUAGUC
RNAcentral lists this ribosomal RNA (439 nucleotides) under uncultured bacterium. RNAcentral's name for it is "partial 16S ribosomal RNA". It matches the Rfam family "Bacterial small subunit ribosomal RNA", at positions 338 to 795 of the family's 1533-position model. The record is from RNAcentral.